UACGUAGGCAGCGAGCGUUGUUCGGAGUUACUGGGCGUAAAGGGUGUGUAGGCGGUUGUUUAAGUUUGGUGUGAAAUCUCCCGGCUCAACUGGGAGGGUGCGCCGAAUACUGAAUGACUUGGAGUGCGGGAGAGGAGAGUGGAAUUCCUGGUGUAGCGGUGAAAUGCGUAGAUAUCAGGAGGAACACCCGUAGCGAAGGCGGCACUCUGGGCCGAUACUGACACUGAGGAGCGAAAGCGUGGGGAGCGAACAGG
This 254-nucleotide ribosomal RNA is filed under the name uncultured bacterium. RNAcentral describes it as "partial 16S ribosomal RNA". It matches the Rfam family "Bacterial small subunit ribosomal RNA", at positions 524 to 776 of the family's 1533-position model. The record is from RNAcentral.